UUUGUGAACUUAUACCUUACUGUUGCCUCGGCGCAUGCCGGCCCCCCUGGGGGCCCCUCCUUCUGGAGGAGCAGGCACGCCGGCGGCCAACCUAACUCUUGUUUUUACACUGAAACUCUGAGAAUAAAACAUAAAUGAAUCAAAACUUUCAACAACGGAUCUCUUGGUUCUGGCAUCGAUGAAGAACGCAGCGAAAUGCGAUAAGUAAUGUGAAUUGCAGAAUUCAGUGAAUCAUCGAAUCUUUGAACGCACAUUGCGCCCUCUGGUAUUCCGGAGGGCAUGCCUGUUCGAGCGUCAUUUCAACCCUCAAGCCUGGCUUGGUGAUGGGGCACUGCUUUUACCCAAAAGCAGGCCCUGAAAUUCAGUGGCGAGCUCGCCAGGACCCCGAGCGCAGUAGUUAAACCCUCGCUUUGGAAGGCCCUGGCGGUGCCCUGCCGUUAAACCCCCAACUUCUGAAAAUUUGACCUCGGAUCAGGUAGGAAUACCCGCUGAACUUAAGCAUAUCAAUAAGCGGAGGAA
This 519-nucleotide ribosomal RNA is filed under the name Phomopsis sp. CJL-2014. RNAcentral's name for it is "eukaryotic LSU rRNA". The stretch from base 144 to 297 matches the Rfam family "5.8S ribosomal RNA". Lineage: Eukaryota; Fungi; Ascomycota; Sordariomycetes; Diaporthales; Diaporthaceae. The record is from RNAcentral.